Molecule: long non-coding RNA, 547 nt
Filed under: Brassica napus (rape)
Lineage: Eukaryota; Viridiplantae; Streptophyta; Magnoliopsida; Brassicales; Brassicaceae
Description: long non-coding RNA (BNAP_LNC019390)
Source: RNAcentral
UCAUCUGCUCUUCGACGGGAACCCUUUUGGUCCGAGCAUCAAGCGCUGGCUAAAACGGCCUCUCCAACGCGAUCUCCGGAAUGGUUCCCUCUGAUAGAUCAAUGGCGGUGAUAUCAUCGCUUCCAAAUGGCGGGAAUCGAAGAGACGAAGCGGUCGCCGGAUCAACUGUCUCUAAGUUUGACCCGAACUGGUCAAAACCUCGAUGCGGCUCAGAAUGAGGAGACAAGACGAGAUCUUUCUCAGUAAUAACCUCAACGACAACCUCCUCCACCUCUUUCUUGAACUUUAUCUCAUUAGCAGUCAAGAGGUCUUUCAGUUUUUUCGGAACCUGCAUACCCCACUUCUCCAACGUAUCCAUCGACUGCAAAGUCCCAGAAGCUUGGCUGUGGAGGAAAAGUUUAUCUUCCAGUUUGUCUCGGUCGGUUCCGAAACUUCUCAAAACGUCUAGCUGCCGCGGACCUGACACGACCCCUCUCGGAUAUAACUUCUCGAAUAUGCGACUACUGCAUACGAUCCAUCUCUUUUUUCGUCUUCUCGGCCUCCUCAA